GAUGGUUUAAUAGUGUUGUGCACCCCCUUCAAGUCUCAAGUUCGAUGCCUCCUUAGUUCUUUAUAAUAUAUUGCACCCACUAAAAAAAUAUAUUGGAUUCGUCCGUGCAGUCUAUAACUCGCUUAUGGAACUUGCGGAAGCUGUCUAUCAAUCACCACUCGAAGGAAAUAUUGACGGAAUUAGAGUCAAAUUCGUUUGGAGAAGACUAUCUUCAAUGGGGUAAUGAACAGACCUUGUUUCUGAAUCGAACUUGCUAAGAUCGAAGUUGGAGAUGAGAUUUCAAGAAAUCAACUAGAUUAGAUGGUUUAAUAGUGUUGUACACCCCCUUUAAGUCUCAAGUUCCGAUGCCUCCUUAGUUCUUUAUAAUAUAUUGCACCCAC
RNAcentral lists this long non-coding RNA (380 nucleotides) under Brassica napus (rape). RNAcentral's name for it is "long non-coding RNA (BNAP_LNC016218)". Lineage: Eukaryota; Viridiplantae; Streptophyta; Magnoliopsida; Brassicales; Brassicaceae. The record is from RNAcentral.